UUAUUUUUAGGGAAUGAAGUACUCCCUUAGUAUUUUUACUAAAACCGCUAUAAGCUGAUGACUUCUACGUUAUU
Molecule: non-coding RNA, 74 nt
Filed under: Candidatus Izimoplasma sp. HR1
Lineage: Bacteria; Bacillati; Mycoplasmatota; Mollicutes; Candidatus Izemoplasmatales; Candidatus Izemoplasmataceae
Description: Candidatus Izimaplasma sp. HR1 Fluoride riboswitch aptamer (crcB RNA motif)
Rfam family: Fluoride riboswitch aptamer (crcB RNA motif)
Source: Rfam by way of RNAcentral